Molecule: ribosomal RNA, 432 nt
Filed under: uncultured Paracoccus sp.
Lineage: Bacteria; Pseudomonadati; Pseudomonadota; Alphaproteobacteria; Rhodobacterales; Paracoccaceae
Description: bacterial SSU rRNA
Rfam family: Bacterial small subunit ribosomal RNA
Source: RNAcentral
CGGGGGGCAGCAGUGGGGAAUCUUAGACAAUGGGGGCAACCCUGAUCUAGCCAUGCCGCGUGAGUGAUGAAGGCCUUAGGGUUGUAAAGCUCUUUCAGCUGGGAAGAUAAUGACGGUACCAGCAGAAGAAGCCCCGGCUAACUCCGUGCCAGCAGCCGCGGUAAUACGGAGGGGGCUAGCGUUGUUCGGAAUUACUGGGCGUAAAGCGCACGUAGGCGGACCGGAAAGUCAGAGGUGAAAUCCCAGGGCUCAACCUUGGAACUGCCUUUGAAACUAUCGGUCUGGAGUUCGAGAGAGGUGAGUGGAAUUCCGAGUGUAGAGGUGAAAUUCGUAGAUAUUCGGAGGAACACCAGUGGCGAAGGCGGCUCACUGGCUCGAUACUGACGCUGAGGUGCGAAAGCGUGGGGAGCAAACAGGAUUAGAUACCCGAGU